RNAcentral lists this ribosomal RNA (406 nucleotides) under uncultured bacterium. RNAcentral's name for it is "partial 16S ribosomal RNA". It matches the Rfam family "Bacterial small subunit ribosomal RNA", at positions 29 to 526 of the family's 1533-position model. The record is from RNAcentral.
AUUGAACGUUGGCGGCAGGCCUAACACAUGCAAGUCGAGCGCGCGGCGGACGGGGGAGUAAUGUCUGGGAAACUGCCCGAUGGAGGGGGAUAACUACUGGAAACGGUAGCUAAUAUCGCAUACCAUCAGAUGUGCCCAGGUGGGAUUAGCGGGUAGGUGGGGGAACGGCUCACCUAGGCGACGAUCCCUAGCUGGUCUGAGAGGAUGACCAGCCACACUGGAACUGAGACACGGUCUAGCCGCCUACGGGAGGCAGCAGUGGGGAAUAUUGCACAAUGGGCGCAAGCCUGAUGCAGCCAUGCCGCGUGUGUGAAGAAGGCCUUCGGGUUGUAAAGCACUUUCAGCGGGGAGGCGUUACCCGCAGAAGAAGCACCGGCUAACUCCGUGCCAGCAGCCGCGGUAAUAC